This 304-nucleotide long non-coding RNA is filed under the name Olea europaea (common olive). RNAcentral describes it as "long non-coding RNA (OEUR_LNC009429)". Lineage: Eukaryota; Viridiplantae; Streptophyta; Magnoliopsida; Lamiales; Oleaceae. The record is from RNAcentral.
AUGGGCUUUGGAGGAGAAAGACUGGCGGGUAUUGCGGAAGGAGGACACGGCCAUCAGGGCCCGGGAAGGUGGAAACCAUUCGCGGGUUUGGAGGAGGACGUCGGGCCCAUUAGUGGGUUGGAGUGAAAGAGCGAGACAGGACAUCUGGGUUUGAUUGAUCUUUGNGCGGGUUUGGAGGAGGACGUCGGGCCCAUUAGUGGGUUGGAGUGAAAGAGCGAGACAGGACAUCUGGGUUUGAUUGAUCUUUGCUUCAAAUGCUCAGAUCUGGAUUUUUCCUUUGGCCGGCGGCGGUGGAGAAUUUGAU